GUUGAACGCUGGCGGCAGGCCUAACACAUGCAAGUCGAGCGGAUGAAGGGAGCUUGCUCCUGGAUUCAGCGGCCGACGGGUGAGUAAUGCCUAGGAAUCUGCCUGACAUUUGGGGAUAACGUCCGGAAACGGGCGCUAAUACCGCAUACGUCCUGAUGGAGAAAGGGAGGGAUCUUCGGACCUCACGCUAUCAGAUGAGCCUAGGUCGUAUUAGCUAGUUGGUUGGGUAAAGGCCUACCAAGGCGACGAUCCGUAACUGGUCUGAGAGGAUGAUCAGUCACACUGGAACUGAGACACGGUCCAGACUCCUACGGGAGGCAGCAGUGGGGAAUAUUGGACAAUGGGCGAAAGCCUGAUCCAGCAAUGCCGCGUGAGUGAAGAAGGUCUUCGGAUUGUAAAGCACUGUAAGUUGGGAGGAAGGGCAGUAAGUUAAUACCUGGCUGUUUUGACGUUACCAAAAGAGUAAGCACCGGCUAACUUCGUG
This 484-nucleotide ribosomal RNA is filed under the name uncultured bacterium. RNAcentral's name for it is "partial 16S ribosomal RNA". It matches the Rfam family "Bacterial small subunit ribosomal RNA", at positions 28 to 507 of the family's 1533-position model. The record is from RNAcentral.